Molecule: ribosomal RNA, 786 nt
Filed under: uncultured Actinomycetes bacterium
Lineage: Bacteria; Bacillati; Actinomycetota; Actinomycetes
Description: bacterial SSU rRNA
Rfam family: Bacterial small subunit ribosomal RNA
Source: RNAcentral
UCGAGCGAUGAGAUCACUUCGGUGAAGGAUUAGCGGCGAACGGGUGUGGAACACGUGAAGAAUCUGCCUUCAACUCUGGGAUAACUCCGGGAAACCGGGGCUAAUACCGGAUAUGAGCCUUGAUCGCAUGAUCGGGGCUGGAAAGUUUUUCGGUUGAAGAUGACUUCGCGGCCUAUCAGCUUGUUGGUGAGGUAAUGGCUCACCAAGGCGACGACGGGUAGCCGGCCUGAGAGGGCGACCGGCCACACUGGGACUGAGACACGGCCCAGACUCCUACGGGAGGCAGCAGUGGGGAAUAUUGGGCAAUGGAGGAAACUCUGACCCAGCGACGCCGCGUGCGGGAUGAAGGCCUUCGGGUUGUAAACCGCUUUCAGCAGGGAAUAAGCGCAAGUGAAGGUACCUGCAGAAGAAGCACCGGCUAACUAUGUGCCAGCAGCCGCGGUAAUACAUAGGGUGCAAGCGUUGUCCGGAAUUAUUGGGCGUAAAGAGCUCGUAGGUGGUUUGUUACGUCGAUCGUGAAAUUCAGGGGCUCAACCCCUGACUUGCGGUCGAUACGGGCAAGCUAGAGUUUGGUAGGGGAGACUGGAAUUCCUGGUGUAGCGGUGGAAUGCGCAGAUAUCAGGAGGAACACCGAUGGCGAAGGCAGGUCUCUGGGCCAAUACUGACACUGAGGAGCGAAAGCGUGGGGAGCGAACAGGAUUAGAUACCCUGGUAGUCCACGCCGUAAACGGUGGGCGCUAGUUGUGCGAACCUUCCACGGUUUGUGCGACGCAGCUAACGCAUUAA